Molecule: ribosomal RNA, 776 nt
Filed under: uncultured bacterium
Lineage: Bacteria
Description: bacterial SSU rRNA
Rfam family: Bacterial small subunit ribosomal RNA
Source: RNAcentral
CCUGGGAACUGCGUUNUGAACUGGGUGACUAGAGUGUGUCAGAGGGAGGUAGAAUUCCACGUGUAGCAGUGAAAUGCGUAGAGAUGUGGAGGAAUACCGAUGGCGAAGGCAGCCUCNUGGGAUAACACUGACGUUCAUGCCCGAAAGCGUGGGUAGCAAACAGGAUUAGAUACCCUGGUAGUCCACGCCCUAAACGAUGUCGAUUAGCUGUUGGGCAGCAUGACUGCUUAGUAGCGAAGCUAACGCGUGAAAUCGACCGCCUGGGGAGUACGGUCGCAAGAUUAAAACUCAAAGGAAUUGACGGGGACCCGCACAAGCGGUGGAUGAUGUGGAUUAAUUCGAUGCAACGCGAAGAACCUUACCUGGUCUUGACAUGUGCGGAACCCUCCAGAGACGGAGGGGUGCCUUCGGGAGCCGUAACACAGGUGCUGCAUGGCUGUCGUCAGCUCGUGUCGUGAGAUGUUGGGUUAAGUCCCGCAACGAGCGCAACCCUUGUCAUUAGUUGCCAUCAUUAAGUUGGGCACUCUAAUGAGACUGCCGGUGACAAGCCGGAGGAAGGUGGGGAUGACGUCAAGUCCUCAUGGCCCUUAUGACCAGGGCUUCACACGUCAUACAAUGGUCGGUACAGAGGGUAGCCAAGCCGCGAGGUGGAGCCAAUCUCACAAAACCGAUCGUAGUCCGGAUUGCACUCUGCAACUCGAGUGCAUGAAGUCGGAAUCGCUAGUAAUCGCAGGUCAGCAUACUGCGGUGAAUACGUUCCCGGGUCUUGUACACAC